RNAcentral lists this small RNA (1021 nucleotides) under Pan troglodytes (chimpanzee). RNAcentral describes it as "retained intron". Lineage: Eukaryota; Metazoa; Chordata; Mammalia; Primates; Hominidae. The record is from RNAcentral.
GAGUCCACCCCAGAGAUUGCCGAGCAGCGAGGAGAGCGUGACAGCCAGACCCAGGCCAUCCUCACCAAGCUCAAGUGUGCUGCAGGCUUGGCAGAGCUGGCCGCCAGGAAGUACAAGCAGGCUGCCAAGUGCCUCCUGCUGGCUUCCUUUGAUCACUGUGACUUCCCUGAGCUGCUGUCCCCCAGCAACGUGGCCAUCUACGGUGGCCUGUGCGCCUUGGCUACCUUUGACCGGCAGGAGCUGCAGCGCAAUGUCAUCUCCAGCAGCUCCUUCAAGUUGUUCUUGGAGCUGGAGCCACAGGUCCGAGACAUCAUCUUCAAAUUCUACGAGUCCAAGUACGCCUCAUGUCUCAAGAUGCUGGACGAGAUGAAGGUGGGGCCCCGCCUGGGGUAGGGGUGAGGUGGGGCCCUGCCUGGCCUCCUGUCCUGGUCCUGACCAGCCCCUUCCCCAGGACAACCUGCUCCUGGACAUGUAUCUGGCCCCCCAUGUCAGGACCCUGUACACCCAGAUUCGCAACCGUGCCCUCAUCCAGGUAAGCGUGGGGGUCAGGCUGGCGCACGGCAGGCGGGCAUGCAGGGGGCUGUGGAGCUGACUUUCCUCUGCCCUGCAGUAUUUCAGCCCCUACGUGUCAGCCGACAUGCAUAGGAUGGCGGCAGCCUUCAAUACCACGGUGGCCGCCCUGGAGGAUGAGCUGACGCAGCUAAUCCUGGAGGGGCUGAUCAGUGCCCGUGUGGACUCACACAGCAAGGUGGCUGUGGGCUGUGGGGCGGUGGGGGCAGCUGGGGGUGAGCCUGGGCCCCGCUGAGCCUGUGCCCGCACAGAUCCUGUACGCCCGGGACGUGGAUCAGCGCAGCACCACCUUUGAGAAGUCUCUGUUGAUGGGCAAGGAGUUCCAGCGCCGUGCCAAGGCCAUGAUGCUGCGGGCAGCUGUGCUCCGCAACCAGAUCCAUGUCAAGUCCCCGCCCAGAGAAGGGAGCCAGGGGGAGCUGACUCCAGCCAACAGCCAGUCCCGGAUGAGCAC